UAUUUUAACGUUAAUAAAAAUAUGGAAAAAAACGAAAGGACGUUUGAAACCCCAUCGAUGAAAAAUUAACGUCGUAAAAAAUAUCUAUAGUUCGUUUACCAAAUCGCCCAAAUUAAAACGUUAAAGGACGGCGUUAAAAAGGGACGUUGGAUUACGUAUAAUACCGAUAUAAAGAAAUUUCGACCGGUUAUUUAAUAUUUGUCGGACGUUAAAAUACGUCCUCCCGUUACUAAGGCCACGUACGAGGAUAUUCUCCCAAAGGAGCCCAUAUUAUUAAUACGAAAGCAAAAAAACAAAAAACCAACCAUUUAAUUUGCUGAAAAAAUUCGUAAUAGUAAUUAGGAAUUCAAAUUAUUAUUAGUAAUAAGGAGGUAUAAAUAUAUAAGGCCAAUCCUUUUCCAAACCCAUUAACGAUAUAAUUAAAAAGGCGUUUCAGGAGUUUAAUAAACAUAAAUGUUAAAUAAAGGAUAAUUUUUUUACUUUUUACGAUUUGAAAAAUUGCUGCUAAGGUAUAUAUUCCCCAAUGGAGGAUCGAUUGGAUUUUUGUAUAUAGGAUUUAUCGACAGGGAUGGAAGACGGAUUGGGCCAUUGGAUUGUGGAACGGGUUUGGGUUAAUAGUCGGAAGCGUUUCGGGUCGGGAAAGCCUGGGGAAAAAAAAAAUCCCUUAAACCAACGAGGAUUUUCCCGUCAACUUCGAAAACGUUUAAUCGAUGCGAAAUAACUUCCAAAAACUAUAUUAUUUUAUCGAAAAAAUAUUUAAAUUUACCGGGGUUAAUAAAAUGUGAAAGGUGUUGGUUCUUGUGGACCGCGGUAAAAGUAAUUAAAUUGCCCCAUUAAUUAAAAUAUAUUAAAGAACAAAUAUUAGCGUGGGAAAAGGAGAAGAAAAAAUACAAAUUUCCAAAACUUACGCCUAAGUAGUACUAAAGAUAUUAAUAAUAAUAUACCGCCUUUUAGCAAAAUUGUAAAAGGUUUUGGUAUUAUAAAUAAGCGCAUUAAUACCCUUUUCUGCUAUUUCCAAAACAGUUUCGUUUUUGGGAUCGAGGAAUUUAUUUAAAGAAUCGGUUAUAUCGAACCUUUUUUGCAUCCCCGGACAAUUUAAUAUUAGUACAAAUUUAAUAAUGGGCCGGCAAAUAAUAUUUAUAAUACCCCAAUAUUUGGCCCGCAAUCUAACGUCGAAAAUAUUAUCGGCCGGAAUUUGGGUAUUAUAAUUAUAAAAUUUCGGCCACCAAAUAUUUUUUUUGUUUGUUAAAUUCGAAUGUAAAAUUUCCACCAAUUUAAUUAGAAUAUGUUUUUCUUUUUCAAAUUUGGGCCUAUAUAAUAUUAUAUAUGCAUUAUUAAACGUUUUCCGUAAUUAUAUUUGCGCGUAAUAACUAUAAGCGAUACGCUGGUCGAUCUUAUAUUCGAUUAUAUAUCCCAAAUUAGGGGUUGGUAUGCUUUGCUCGUAUUUGCUAAUGCCCGACUGUUGUAAAUUCAAUUCGGUAAUAAUAUUAUUACAAAUUUGGUCAAUAUUGGCAAAAGAAAAAAAAAAAAAAAAACCAUAUACCAUUUAAAUUAUAUAUAUGUCCAAUAUAUGAAAUAGUAUUAGGUGUUUUUAAUAUUUUGUAUUUGGCUGUUAAUAGCAGUAAAACGAAAAAAAUGGUUUUAUAAAAGCAGGUUAGCGACCAAUUCCAACCAAUUUCUGGAGGAAAGGGCAAAAAAAAAAUUUAUUCCCUAAAAAAAUGCUGGGUUUUAAUAUAAGUAUUAUAAAUAUACCAGUAAUUAUCCAUAACCCUGCUUAAUUGGCCGUAGUAAAAACCAGCCAAAAUAUUGGCGUACACGUAUUAUACCGACCUCCCCGCCAUUUAAUUACCUAUAAUAUCGGUGGUAUUGGUUAAAUAUUACAGGCCCGGAAUUACAUUUAUAUUUCUUUUUAUAGGUUUUAAUAUA
RNAcentral lists this small RNA (1926 nucleotides) under Pyricularia oryzae. RNAcentral describes it as "Magnaporthe oryzae sRNA M_BR32_EuGene_00135441". Lineage: Eukaryota; Fungi; Ascomycota; Sordariomycetes; Magnaporthales; Pyriculariaceae. The record is from RNAcentral.